UGGGGAAUCUUGGACAAUGGGGCGAAAAGCCUGAUCCAGCAAUGCCGCGUGUGUGAAGAAGGCCUUCGGGUUGUAAAGCACUUUUGUCCGGAAAGAAAUCCUUGGGCUCUAAUACAGUCGGGGGAUGACGGUACCGGAAGAAUAAGCACCGGCUAACUACGUGCCAGCAGCCGCGGUAAUACGUAGGGUGCAAGCGUUAAUCGGAAUUACUGGGCGUAAAGCGUGCGCAGGCGGUUUGCUAAGACCGAUGUGAAAUCCCCGGGCUCAACCUGGGAACUGCAUUGGUGACUGGCAGGCUAGAGUAUGGCAGAGGGGGGUAGAAUUCCACGUGUAGCAGUGAAAUGCGUAGAGAUGUGGAGGAAUACCGAUGGCGAAGGCAGCCCCCUGGGCCAAUACUGACGCUCAUGCACGAAAGCGUGGGGAGCAAACAGGAUUAGAUACCCUGGUAGUCCACGCCCUAAACGAUGUCAACUAGUUGUUGGGGACUUCAUUUCCUUAGUAACGUAGCUAACGCGUGAAGUUGACCGCCU
Molecule: ribosomal RNA, 530 nt
Filed under: uncultured bacterium
Lineage: Bacteria
Description: partial 16S ribosomal RNA
Rfam family: Bacterial small subunit ribosomal RNA
Source: RNAcentral